RNAcentral lists this ribosomal RNA (472 nucleotides) under uncultured bacterium. Its description in RNAcentral is "bacterial SSU rRNA". It matches the Rfam family "Bacterial small subunit ribosomal RNA", at positions 29 to 506 of the family's 1533-position model. The record is from RNAcentral.
AUGAACGCUAGCGGCAGGCCUAAUACAUGCAAGUCGAACGGUCAGUAGCAAUACUGAUAGUGGCGCACGGGUGCGUAACACGUAACUAACCUACCUAUAACUGGGGGAUAGCCCGCCGAAAGGCGGAUUAAUACCGCAUAAGCUAUUUGAGUGGCAUCGCUCGAUUAGUAAAGAUUUAUUGGUUAUAGAUGGGGUUGCGGGUCAUUAGCUAGUUGGUCAGGUAACGGCUUACCAAGGCGACGAUGACUAGGGGAGCUGAGAGGCUGGUCCCCCACACGGGCACUGAGAUACGGGCCCGACUCCUACGGGAGGCAGCAGUAGGGAAUAUUGGGCAAUGGGCGAGAGCCUGACCCAGCCAUGCCGCGUGCAGGAAGAAGGCUUUCUGAGUCGUAAACUGCUUUUGACAGGGAAGAAUAAGCACUACGUGUAGUGCGAUGACGGUACCUGCAGAAUAAGCACCGGCUAACUCCGU